This 86-nucleotide ribosomal RNA is filed under the name Janthinobacterium lividum. Its description in RNAcentral is "partial 23S rRNA. Bacterial LSU". It matches the Rfam family "Bacterial large subunit ribosomal RNA", at positions 2840 to 2925 of the family's 2925-position model. Lineage: Bacteria; Pseudomonadati; Pseudomonadota; Betaproteobacteria; Burkholderiales; Oxalobacteraceae. The record is from RNAcentral.
CGAGACCAGGACGUUGAUAGGCUGGGUGUGGAAGUGCAGUAAUGCAUUAAGCUAACCAGUACUAAUUGCCCGUACGGCUUGUCCCU